RNAcentral lists this ribosomal RNA (977 nucleotides) under Klebsiella pneumoniae. Its description in RNAcentral is "bacterial SSU rRNA". It matches the Rfam family "Bacterial small subunit ribosomal RNA", at positions 8 to 976 of the family's 1533-position model. The record is from RNAcentral. Lineage: Bacteria; Pseudomonadati; Pseudomonadota; Gammaproteobacteria; Enterobacterales; Enterobacteriaceae.
AGAGUUUGAUCAUGGCUCAGAUUGAACGCUGGCGGCAGGCCUAACACAUGCAAGUCGAGCGGUAGCACAGAGAGCUUGCUCUCGGGUGACGAGCGGCGGACGGGUGAGUAAUGUCUGGGAAACUGCCUGAUGGAGGGGGAUAACUACUGGAAACGGUAGCUAAUACCGCAUAACGUCGCAAGACCAAAGUGGGGGACCUUCGGGCCUCAUGCCAUCAGAUGUGCCCAGAUGGGAUUAGCUAGUAGGUGGGGUAACGGCUCACCUAGGCGACGAUCCCUAGCUGGUCUGAGAGGAUGACCAGCCACACUGGAACUGAGACACGGUCCAGACUCCUACGGGAGGCAGCAGUGGGGAAUAUUGCACAAUGGGCGCAAGCCUGAUGCAGCCAUGCCGCGUGUGUGAAGAAGGCCUUCGGGUUGUAAAGCACUUUCAGCGGGGAGGAAGGCGUUAAGGUUAAUAACCUUGGCGAUUGACGUUACCCGCAGAAGAAGCACCGGCUAACUCCGUGCCAGCAGCCGCGGUAAUACGGAGGGUGCAAGCGUUAAUCGGAAUUACUGGGCGUAAAGCGCACGCAGGCGGUCUGUCAAGUCGGAUGUGAAAUCCCCGGGCUCAACCUGGGAACUGCAUUCGAAACUGGCAGGCUAGAGUCUUGUAGAGGGGGGUAGAAUUCCAGGUGUAGCGGUGAAAUGCGUAGAGAUCUGGAGGAAUACCGGUGGCGAAGGCGGCCCCCUGGACAAAGACUGACGCUCAGGUGCGAAAGCGUGGGGAGCAAACAGGAUUAGAUACCCUGGUAGUCCACGCCGUAAACGAUGUCGAUUUGGAGGUUGUGCCCUUGAGGCGUGGCUUCCGGAGCUAACGCGUUAAAUCGACCGCCUGGGGAGUACGGCCGCAAGGUUAAAACUCAAAUGAAUUGACGGGGGCCCGCACAAGCGGUGGAGCAUGUGGUUUAAUUCGAUGCAACGCGAAGAACCUUACCU